AGCUACUUUACUGCGCAAACCUGUUGAAGCUGUUGAUGCUUGUUCCUCUAAAAUUAUAUAUAACCUUGUUUUUUUAAAUUAUUAAUUAAUUAUGUUUAUUUCUUUUUAUUUAAUUAUAAUAUAUGUGCUUCUUUUUAAACUUUUAAAAUUGAAAUAUUUCAUCAUUGCCAGUUUAGUUGUUAGUUUAAGUAUUUUGAUAAGUUGUUUGAACACUUUGGAAAAUGUCAUGAAGACAAAACACACAGAAAAGUGUCCUUUCUGUUAUGGACUUACAGCAUGUUAUUUAAUGGAUGUUAAUGAACUUACUUUCGAUCACAGUGAUCUAUCUUCUUUGUUUUCCAAUUAUUUAGGGACAAAGAAUGUUUAUUUCGUUAACGCGGGAAAUGAGAGACUGGUUUUAAAACAGCUAGCAAGCGAUUCAGAACUAGAGCAAUUCGAUGAGAUUAGUACUGUUUUCAGAGAGGCCAUCGACGUUGAUUUCCUGGAUCUUAUAAAGGAAUCUGUCUCAACAAAUAUGAGCGAUUCAACAAGUAAACUGCGACUCUGUCCAACUACAAAGAACAUGGAAUUGCUUUUGAAAAAUGAAAUUGAUAACGAGCAUUUCUCGUAUAAAUAUAUUUGGACCCUGGUGAAAGUAAAUCCAGAACCUCUUAUGUUGCAGAUUUUACCUGCAAGACUGGGAUGGCCUGUUCCUAAAUAUUAUGGAGCUUGUGGGAGAUUAAUUGUUGAAGAAUUCGUCGGUCCUGUUCUGUCCAAGUUUUACAAUGAACUUUGGAUUCUAAGAGCAGAAAUAGCUUCUAGCUUACUCAAUGCAGCACAUGCGCUUACUUUUCAAGAUGAAAAUUUUGCAUUUUAUUUAACAGAUGUUUCUUUUGAUAAUAUUGCCGUUGAUUCCAAUAACACUGCCAAAUUUAUUGACCUGGAAAAUGUUAUCGUGGUUGAUAAGCAUACAUCUGUCACAGAUCAAUUUGAAACUUUGAAAACCGUCCACAAAAGCGACUCAGAUUUUGGCUGUGACGAUUGCUUAAUAUUUUCUCCAGCAGACAUAUGUGCACAUCAAGUUAGCGACCACAACUAUUAUGCCAUUUGCAAGCACAUUUUAGCCAGAAAGAUGACUGAAAGACAAAUAUCAGAUGGCCUUUUACACGAUGUACCGGAUAGUAUUCUAAGUCGAUACCCUAUUUUACUUAAUCUUGCAAAAAAGUGCUCCAAUUCUGAUACUUUAAGCAGCAGAAUUACUUCAGGGAUUAGACUCAAUAGCUUGUUGAAAGCUAUUGUUAGGACGCAAAUCUAGAUUACAAAUUUCAAUUCUAGGAGUGCUCAUUUGAGGUAUAUCAUACAUUUCUCACAAUGCUUUUUUAAGAAGGGUUACUUCUUUCUCUCAUUCUCUUUAUCUUUCUUCAUGCUUCAAAUAUAUCAACUUGCAGAAAACUUAGAUUGUAUAUUAGAAGACUUCCAUGAAUGAAUUAGGAGGAAAAGUAUAAACUAUAUGGAUGUAAGCAGGCACUGGAAUUAAUACCACUCUUUUACAACCAACUAAAUCCAGCAAAUUUCAACGCCUGUAAAUUCAUUUGAAAUUUUUGGUCUUAAAAACAACGUAAGAAAAAAUAAUACAUUAACUGUACGAUUUGUUUAUUCAAAAAACUUUUUCUAUGUAUUUCCAUCGCUAGGUGAAUUAAUUAAAGACAUAAAUUGUAAUAAAAAAGCCAAAUGGUAAAGUAAUUCCAUGUAACAAAAUUUUCAAAUUGAAUAAAUAGAAUAUUGCAGAAUUAA
RNA transcript from Leptopilina heterotoma, 1773 nucleotides. It is a transcript of the gene named divergent protein kinase domain 2A, with no coding region annotated. Lineage: Eukaryota; Metazoa; Arthropoda; Insecta; Hymenoptera; Figitidae. The transcript has 6 exons. The record is from RefSeq and is a predicted model, not a curated record.